Molecule: ribosomal RNA, 201 nt
Filed under: uncultured bacterium
Lineage: Bacteria
Description: partial 16S ribosomal RNA
Rfam family: Bacterial small subunit ribosomal RNA
Source: RNAcentral
CCUACGGGAGGCAGCAGUAGGGAAUCUUCCGCAAUGGACGCAAGUCUGACGGAGCAACGCCGCGUGUGUGAAGAAGGUCUUCGGAUCGUAAAGCACUGUUAUUAGAGAAGAACAACCGGUAGAGUAACUGUUACCGGCUUGACGGUAUCUAACCAGAAAGCCACGGCUAACUACGUGCCAGCAGCCGCGGUAAUACGUAGG